AACGCACGCUUUCUUCAUUCCUAACACAUGCAAGUCGAGCGAGACCUUCGGGUCUAGUGGCGCACGGGUGCGUAACGCGUGGGAACCUGCCCUUAGGUUCGGAAUAACUCCCCGAAAGGGGUGCUAAUACCGGAUAAUGUCUUCGGACCAAAGAUUUAUCGCCUUUGGAUGGGCCCGCGUUGGAUUAGCUAGUUGGUAGGGUAAAAGCCUACCAAGGCGACGAUCCAUAGCUGGUCUGAGAGGAUGAUCAGCCACACUGGGACUGAGACACGGCCCAGACUCCUACGGGAGGCAGCAGUGGGGAAUAUUGGACAAUGGGCGAAAGCCUGAUCCAGCAAUGCCGCGUGAGUGAUGAAGGCCUUAGGGUUGUAAAGCUCUUUUACCCGGGAUGAUAAUGACAGUACCGGGAGAAUAAGCUCCGGCUAACUCCGUG
RNAcentral lists this ribosomal RNA (433 nucleotides) under uncultured bacterium. RNAcentral's name for it is "partial 16S ribosomal RNA". It matches the Rfam family "Bacterial small subunit ribosomal RNA", at positions 29 to 507 of the family's 1533-position model. The record is from RNAcentral.